RNAcentral lists this transfer RNA (86 nucleotides) under Angelakisella sp. RNAcentral describes it as "tRNA-Leu". It matches the Rfam family "tRNA". From Rfam's summary of the family: Transfer RNA (tRNA) molecules are approximately 80 nucleotides in length. Their secondary structure includes four short double-helical elements and three loops (D, anti-codon, and T loops). Further hydrogen bonds mediate the characteristic L-shaped molecular structure. tRNAs have two regions of fundamental functional importance: the anti-codon, which is responsible for specific mRNA codon recognition, and the 3' end, to which the tRNAs corresponding amino acid is attached (by aminoacyl-tRNA synthetases). tRNAs cope with the degeneracy of the genetic code in two manners: having more than one tRNA (with a specific anti-codon) for a particular amino acid; and 'wobble' base-pairing, i.e. permitting non-standard base-pairing at the 3rd anti-codon position. Lineage: Bacteria; Bacillati; Bacillota; Clostridia; Eubacteriales; Oscillospiraceae. The record is from RNAcentral.
GCCGGUGUGAUGGAAUGGCAGACAUGACGGACUCAAAAUCCGUUGGUAGCGAUACCGUGUGGGUUCGACCCCCACCACCGGCACCA